RNAcentral lists this ribosomal RNA (433 nucleotides) under uncultured bacterium. RNAcentral describes it as "partial 16S ribosomal RNA". It matches the Rfam family "Bacterial small subunit ribosomal RNA", at positions 29 to 507 of the family's 1533-position model. The record is from RNAcentral.
AACGAACGCUGGCGGCAUGUCUAACACAUGCAAGUCGAACGAGACCUUCGGGUCUAGUGGCGCACGGGUGCGUAACGCGUGGGAACCUGCCCUUAGGUUCGGAAUAACUCCCCGAAAGGGGUGCUAAUACCGGAUAAUGUCUUCGGACCAAAGAUUUAUCGCCUUUGGAUGGGCCCGCGUUGGAUUAGCUAGUUGGUAGGGUAAAAGCCUACCAAGGCGACGAUCCAUAGCUGGUCUGAGAGGAUGAUCAGCCACACUGGGACUGAGACACGGCCCAGACUCCUACGGGAGGCAGCAGUGGGGAAUAUUGGACAAUGGGCGAAAGCCUGAUCCAGCAAUGCCGCGUGAGUGAUGAAGGCCUUAGAGUUGUAAAGCUCUUUUACCCGGGAUGAUAAUGACAGUACCGGGAGAAUAAGCUCCGGCUAACUCCGUG